UGGAGUUUGUGGAACAAGAGUUCGUGGAGCAGUGCCAAACACCGCCUUAGGAGUGGUUUGGUAAACACUAAUCUAAACUCUUGGUAUGAGUUGUCCCGGUCAGUCUCACAUGCAUCAGGUACAGACUUGUUUGGAAUCUAACAAAAUAAUGGAUUUUUCAUGGUUAAAUGAAUAAACAACAAACAACUCGGAAAAGAAUUAGCCUAGG
RNAcentral lists this long non-coding RNA (208 nucleotides) under Sorghum bicolor (sorghum). RNAcentral describes it as "long non-coding RNA (SBIC_LNC015103)". Lineage: Eukaryota; Viridiplantae; Streptophyta; Magnoliopsida; Poales; Poaceae. The record is from RNAcentral.